This 55-nucleotide transfer RNA is filed under the name Loxosceles kaiba. RNAcentral describes it as "tRNA-Leu". The record is from RNAcentral. Lineage: Eukaryota; Metazoa; Arthropoda; Arachnida; Araneae; Sicariidae.
AAAUUAUUAAACUAGCAAAAAAAUGCAUAAAACUUAGAAUUUUAUAAAUCUCAUA